Molecule: long non-coding RNA, 3585 nt
Organism: Homo sapiens (human)
Lineage: Eukaryota; Metazoa; Chordata; Mammalia; Primates; Hominidae
Source: Ensembl
CUACACACUGUCUGCGCUGCUCCCAGCACGUUCUGAAAUGUCAUAUUUAUGAGUGAUUAUCUGAUCACUGAUUUGGGUAUGAAAAUAAGUAAGAGCUCCUGAAUGCUGCAAAAAGAGAAGAGUGCAGAGGAGGGUGUCAAGAAAUGAUUGGGUCACUGAAUGUUUCUUGUGUACCUGCUAUUAUUUGCAGGGCACCAGGGAGUGAGGAAUGCAAAGGCGAAUAAUCUCCAAAGCGCUUUCAGUGUAGCCCAAUAAGCAAAGGGUCAGGGGUCUGCGCAGUUAUCACAUCAGUUUGAAGUAUAGACCACACAUCAGGAUAAAUCAGGCAAGAUCUUUGUUCUUGAUAAAAUUUAUCCUUCUGUGUAACUACCCAGUGAGCUUCACAGUCUCCUCACAGAUAAAUGUCAUUUUUAUUUUGAAAUGUUUAUAUCUGCUCAACAAUUACCGCGCUCAUGUCAGUGUGCUGAAAUGAGAUCAACCCCCAAACCAGUUAUCUUAAUUGCAAGUACAGAUUUUGAUACUGAAUGUAUUUCAACAUUCUUUUUUUGUUGUUGUUCUGUUCUUUGGGAUAAAUAAUAGAUAACACAAAACUUCCAAGUCCCAGUGCAGGAUUUCGAGGUGGUUGUGCUACUAGGCGUUAUAUUAGUGUCAGAGACCUGACAAAACCAGCCUCUUUUCUACAAAUCCAAGAAAAGCCUUCUUUGUAUCAGUUCUGCACAUAUUUUUGUAUAAUUACCAUUGCUCAUUGCAUCAGCAAAUCCUGCCAGCUCUGUGUUAAAAAUCUUUCUAGACUAUUAACGUAUUUCACCAUCUCCCUAUCAUCACCCUGGACCAAGCCACCAUCAUCUCUUGCCUGGAUUAUUGCACUGGUCUCCUAACUGCUUCUACUUCUGCUCCUACAGUCUUGUAUCACCAGAACAAAAACAGGGACCCUGCUUAUAAUCCAAGGCUGGUAUGUCACUCUGCUCAGAGCCUGCCAGUGGCUUCCUAUCUCAGAAAGAGCAAAAUCCAAAGUCCUCUCAGUGGCUUACAAGACUCUACAUGUUUGGAGUUAUCCCACCAGCACCUCUCUGACACAUCUCCUGCCCUGCCCCCAGGAGCUGGCUGGCUUUAGCCACAUAGCCCCUUUCUUGUUUUCUCAGGGCCUUUGCACAUCCUUGUAAAAGUCUCAUUUCUCCUCCCUCCCGUGUUCCUCACCUUGUUCAGGUCCCUCCCUUCUCACCUUCUUCAGGUCUGCCCAGCAAGACCUUUCCUUGAUUCCACUUCUUAAUGCAGCACAGCCUCACUGCAGCUUCCUCUUCCUUGCCUUAUUUGUUGACUCUUUUCCUACAUCAGAAUAUAAACUCCAAGACUUCAGCAGUUUUUGUCUGCUUGGUUCACUGCCACACCCCCACUGCCUAGAACAGAGCUGGUAUAUUACAGGCAUUUGAUAAAUAUCUGUUGCUCACGCAAGCAUUCAACCACUAUUUAUUCAGGGCCUACUACUAUAUUCCAGGCUGCAUGUUAAAAAAUAAUCACUGCCCACUAGGAGCUUAUAGUCUUGCGAGGGAGACAAAUAAAUAUAGUAUAAAGAUAAGUAAGCCUAUUUCAGGUGGUGAUAAAUGCCACAAAGAAAAUAAAAUUAUAAGAUGUGAUAGAGGGACUGAGUGUGGAAUACUACUUUAUACAGAGUGCCUGGGGAAGGCAUCUCUGUGAAUGUGACAUUUGAGCUGAAUAAUAAGAAAGAGACAGCCAUGGGAAGUUUUGGAGGAAGAGCAUUCCAGGCACAGGGUCAAACAAGUUAAAGGGGCCUGAGUUAUGAGUGAGCUCACAUUGAAAGUUUAUGUAUUGUGUCAUCUACUUGUAUCCUGUGAAUCUCCAAAGUACCCUUGAGAUGAUCAGUACAGAGUCAAAUGUGAGUGAUACCGUGUGCUUAUUCACUACCUGCAGCCUACUAUCAUCAUUCUCUACAUCUUGACAUAAGGUAGUCAUCAACCACCAGCUAGUCUACUGCAGAAAAGCCAUUGGUAUUUCCUUAUGGAAGCCAGGUAAUGCAUGAGAGAUAUAAUAAUGAAUGAAACAGGUGAUUUGAAACACAAGGAAUGUUUUUCUAGUUAAUUUUGUGUGUUCUGUUUCUUGCCUAUUGGUUGGUAUCACAGAAUUCAAAAGGAAAUACUACUGGGGAACUCUGAUGCUGGGACUUGAGGGCCUGAGUGUUUAUAAGAAGAGAGUCAUAACUCUUUAGCAUCUCCAGUAUGUUAAAUAUGCUUGAUUGCAAGGGAUUGGGGAGGAUUUGGAAACCCACUAGCCCUGUGUUUAGUCUCAAACCAGUUUCUAAUGAUGGUCAUUGCUAAUUGAUGGUCAUUGCUCCUUUUCAAGUAACUCUUUGUAUUUUCCUGAAUAAGAUACAGUGUGCCUGCAAGUAACCUGUCCUUUGAUCCUAAAGUGGAGGAUACUGGAAACAUCUCUGGACCUACAUUCUCAUCUCAUUUGCAUCUUCUCCCCCACCUACUGCCUUCUCUUCAAACCAGCUUCCCCUCCCACUCCCCACAGUAAUCCUUCUUAUCCAAAGUUUCCAUUACCAUGGUUUCAGUUACCCAUGGUCAGCUGUGGUUUGAAAAUAUUACAUGGAAAUUCCAGAAAUAUAACUAAUUCAUAAAUUCAAAAUUGCACACCAUUCAGAGUAGUGUGAUGAAAUCUCCCACUGUCCUGCUUCGUCUUGCCCUGGACAUGAAUAUCCACACCUCUACACUCCCAACCCAUGAGUCACUUAGUAGCCAUCUCAGCUGUCAGAUCAACUGUCUUAGUAUCACCCUAUCACAGUGCUUGUGUUCAAGUAACACUCAGUUUACUUAAUAAAUGGCCACAAAUUACAAGAGUAGUGAUGCUGGCAAUUCAGAUAUGCCAAAGAGAAGCCAUAAAAUGCUGCCUUUAAGUGAAAAGGUGAAAGUUCUCAAUUUAAUAAGAAAAAAAAAGUUACAUCCCAAGGUUGCUAAGAUCUAUGAUAAGAAUGUAGACAUUGUGAAAUUUCUGUGAAAUUAUGAAGGAAAAAUUUGUGCUAGUUUUGCUGUCACACCUCCAAACACAAAACGUAUGGCACAGAGUGCAUGAUAAGUGUGUAGUGAAAAUGGAAAAGGCAUUAAACUUGUGGAUUGAAGACAUGAAGAGAAACAUGUUCCAAUGGACAGCAAUCAGGUUCAGUACUACCUACGGUUUCAGUCACCCACUGAGGGUCUUGGAAUGUAUACCCUUUGUAUGAAAGGAGACUACUGUAUUCUGCAUACCAAAGAUUUAAGGAAAGGAAUGAGGAACAUGAAGAGAAAUAUAAAGUUAAAGGGGAGGAAGAACUGGUGAAAUGAAGUGAGUGCCUUUGAGAAUUGAAUGAAUUUAAUAUAUGUGAAAAUGAUCUGUACAUUGUAAAACACCAUUCAAGUGUCAGAAUCAUUAUUUUCCACCACUUAUCAUGGUGCUUGACAAGUCUUCCCAAUAAAUACUGAAUGAACAAAUGAAUGGCAGAAACAUUAAAAUGAACACUAUGGGGAAAGGGGAAGAGAGGCAGAAUCAGAAAUUAUCCUGAAUAAAUAUUUAUUCCAUUUGUCAUCCUCC